Molecule: ribosomal RNA, 587 nt
Filed under: uncultured bacterium
Lineage: Bacteria
Description: bacterial SSU rRNA
Rfam family: Bacterial small subunit ribosomal RNA
Source: RNAcentral
CCUACGGGAGGCAGCAGUGGGGAAUAUUGGACAAUGGGCGAAAGCUUGAUCCAGCAAUACCGCGUGUGUGAAGAAGGCCCUAGGGUUGUAAAGCACUUUCAGUUGGGAAGAAAAGUUUGGCGUUAAUACCGUCGAACCUUGACGUAACCAACAGAAGAAGCACCGGCUAACUCUGUGCCAGCAGCCGCGGUAAUACAGAGGGUGCGAGCGUUAAUCGGAAUUACUGGGCGUAAAGGGCGCGUAGGCGGCCAAGUAAGUCGGAUGUGAAAGCCCCGGGCUUAACCUGGGAAUUGCAUUCGAUACUGCUUAGCUAGAGUACGGUAGAGGGAAGUGGAAUUCCGGGUGUAGCGGUGAAAUGCGUAGAUAUCCGGAGGAACAUCAGUGGCGAAGGCGACUUCCUGGACCGAUACUGACGCUGAGGCGCGAAAGCGUGGGGAGCAAACAGGAUUAGAUACCCUGGUAGUCCACGCCCUAAACGAUGAGAACUAGCCGUUGGGAGCAUUUAAGCUCUUAGUGGCGCAGCUAACGCGUUAAGUUCUCCGCCUGGGGAGUACGGCCGCAAGGUUAAAACUCAAAGGAAUUGACGG